GAUGAACGCUAGCGGCAGGCCUAACACAUGCAAGUCGAGGGGCAUCAUGGCGUAGCAAUACGCUGAUGGCGACCGGCGCACGGGUGCGUAACGCGUAUGGAACCUACCCACCGCAGGGGGAUAACCCGCCGAAAGGCGGACUAAUACCCCAUGGUUCCCCGACCCUGCCUGGGGUUGGGGGUAAAGCCUACGGGCGGCGGUGGAUGGCCCUGCGUGCCAUUAGCUGGCUGGUGGGGUAACGGCCCACCAGGGCGACGAUGGCUAGGGGGUCUGAGAGGACGAUCCCCCACACUGGUACUGAGACACGGACCAGACUCCUACGGGAGGCAGCAGUCGAGAAUAGUCUACAAUGGUCGGAAGACUGAUAGUGCGACGCCGCGUGAACGAUGAAUCCCUUCGGGGUGUAAAGUUCUUUUAUAUGUGAGCAGUGCUUCUUAUAUUAACAGUAUGGGGAGAGAGAUAUUAGCAUAUGAAUAAGCAACGGCUAACUCCGUG
RNAcentral lists this ribosomal RNA (495 nucleotides) under uncultured bacterium. Its description in RNAcentral is "bacterial SSU rRNA". It matches the Rfam family "Bacterial small subunit ribosomal RNA", at positions 28 to 507 of the family's 1533-position model. The record is from RNAcentral.